UACGAAGGGGGCUAGCGUUGUUCGGAAUCACUGGGCGUAAAGGGCGCGUAGGCGGCCGAUCAAGUCGGGGGUGAAAGCCUGUGGCUCAACCACAGAAUUGCCUUCGAUACUGGUUGGCUUGAGACCGGAAGAGGUAAGUGGAACUGCGAGUGUAGAGGUGAAAUUCGUAGAUAUUCGCAAGAACACCAGUGGCGAAGGCGGCUUACUGGGCCGGUUCUGACGCUGAGGCGCGAAAGCGUGGGGAGCAAACAGG
RNAcentral lists this ribosomal RNA (253 nucleotides) under uncultured bacterium. Its description in RNAcentral is "partial 16S ribosomal RNA". It matches the Rfam family "Bacterial small subunit ribosomal RNA", at positions 524 to 776 of the family's 1533-position model. The record is from RNAcentral.